UCAGACCUCCCAGUUUUAAAUCCUGCCCCAAGGGCUGGGGACGGCUAGGUGAGCGGCACAAUAUUCACCUAGCUUGCUCAAGGCUUUGGGUUCCACCCCCAACACCGCCAAGAAGGAAAAAGAUCAACCCUGCCCCAUAUCCCCCGUCACUGUGAGUGGCCAAGUUAAUCUUUUUGUUUUUUGCCUUCAUUUCCUUAUCUGCAAAAGGAGGAUGAUACUACUGGCCUCUCCUGAGUUGUGGUGAAGAUUAUGAUGACUAAUAAUUGGGGUUUAGGAGAGUAGUUAACGUGGGUAAGCACUUAUAUAUAAAGUAUCUGUUAAGUGAAUAAAAAGACUGUCAAAUGCUCCCUUAUCUGGAGCAAUGAAUUCCUCUGAAACUGUUUUUCUAGAGGCCCAGUUGCCAUGGAGAUGGUGUGUGUGUGUGUGUGUGUGUGUGUGUGUGUGUGUGUGUGUGUGUGUGUGCAUGUGGAUGUGUGUGUCUCACCGAGGUGUUUUCCCACCACUGGACUCUGGUUUUCUCUACCACACACCAAGCAAUUAGGUCCAUGAGGUGGUGGUGAAGGGGAGAUGCCUUUUGGGGUGGUCUACUCUGGGGAGCCCCAAAUGCCCCCUGCUAUGCUGGGCAGGUGGUCCAGGUGGGAGCCUCACUACAAAGGCAGAACCCAAGGCCAGCCCAGGGGUCCUCAAGCCAAGUGUCUUGUUUGUGAGGUCAGAGCCAGGACUCAGGGAGACCAAGGCCCAGCCCUCUCCGGAGCCAGGAUCCUUUCCCACCCUCCCAUGGGAAAGAAGAAACAAAAGGUCAUUCACCUUCCACCCAGGUCCUUUCCCAGUGCCCGGAAGUCAGAGGGCAUGUUGACACCACCCCCAUAAAGAUGAGGGGAGGCACUGCAACAAGGAGGGGAACUCUCCCCAGCACGGGGCCCGAAGAUGGUGAUCUGGCUGAUGCCUGCCACCCACCCCCACCCCCAAAUCUGCCUCCAGCUCUGGCCACAGUGGCCUUUGUUCAGUUCCUCUGAGCUCAUUCCCACCUCCAAGCCUUGCACUAGCUGUGUCCUCCACCUGGUUCUCUCUUUUCCCCAACAUCUCCCUCCGGGGCCAGCCCCAUCUCGCCUGUACACACCUGCCACUUCCCUUUAGGCGCCCUGUCUUACUCUCCUGCAGCCCCAGCCCCGUCGGACGGUCCAUUUGCUCUUCAUCUGCCUCCGUUAGUGUCUGUUCAUCCAUCUCCUCGGCCCCCUAACAGCAGGGACCUGUCCAUUUUACACAAGGGGUACCCUAGCACCCUGGCUGGCACCUCUGUGGAAAUUAAGAAAUAGACAAUAAAGAUUUUAUCUUUCUAACACACCUGUAGGUCUUGCUGCCUGAGCCCCACACGGCGACUCCUUGCCCCUCCCACCUUC
This 1400-nucleotide long non-coding RNA is filed under the name Heterocephalus glaber (naked mole-rat). RNAcentral's name for it is "lncRNA (ENSHGLG00000033613.1)". Lineage: Eukaryota; Metazoa; Chordata; Mammalia; Rodentia; Bathyergidae. The record is from RNAcentral.